This is a long non-coding RNA of Notolabrus celidotus (New Zealand spotty), 906 nucleotides long. RefSeq lists it as uncharacterized. The transcript is spliced from 3 exons. The record is from RefSeq and is a predicted model, not a curated record. NCBI's taxonomy places the organism in Eukaryota, Metazoa, Chordata, Actinopteri, Labriformes, Labridae.
CUGGAAGAAGGCCAGUGGUGGAAAAAGCAUUCCUUUAGUUGAGUGGCAAAACCACAGAGAGAAAACACUUCAUUCAAAUGAAUCCUCAGUGAUUGGUCCCUUGCAGAAGCUCAGGCUCAGAGGCGAACAGCUCCUUGUAGAGAGGCGGAAACAGAGAGUGAGCAGUGAGCGGGUAACGCAGACUGAACCAGCGCAGCUUCUCCAUGUGCAGACUGCACAGUGAACGCAACACCGCCAUCUUCUGGGACAGCUGCAGAGAGAUGGAGACACAGAGAGGAAUUUGCUUGGUUGUCACGGUGAAGGAUUUGUGCGAUUCCUAAUUCCACGCUUCUUUGCACUCGCUGAACCCUGCUUCUGUCCUCCAGACAUGGACGAUCUGCAUGAAGACACAAGAAGACAAAUAGUUUUUUGAAAGCAUACAACUUGGCAUUGUAUUAAAUCCCUAAAUGUGGUAGGUGUGAAUAGUAGUGUGUGGUCUAAAAAGUAUAAGGAUGACAUGUCUAUUAACAGCCACUGGGGGGCAAAAAGAGUUAAACCAAAAGGAUGGAUAUCUGUCAACCAAUUUGGUGUCUGUCUUCAUUUCAAAUUGAAAUUAAAGUAUCUUAAAAAGAGGAAAAUCAGGAACUAUUUUGUUACAAAAACACAAAAAAAUAUCGAAAGAUGGAUCGUCAGACUGCGCCCCUGUGCAAUAAAUGUGGAAGGGAGGUUGGAACCUACUACCACUGUUUUUGGCAGUGCAAACUGAUCAAAAGAUUCUGGGGUGCAAUUUCGAAAGUGGCAUUUUCUGGACCUGCAUCAAGAGGGACUCAGGCCUAUUCAUUCUCAGCCUCCCCUCAAAAUCAGUUGAAUUAACACGCCCACAUUUUAAACUGUGACAAACUGCUGUUAUUGGCUAGAAAAUGUAUU